This 113-nucleotide non-coding RNA is filed under the name Ornatilinea apprima. RNAcentral describes it as "c-di-GMP sequence". It matches the Rfam family "c-di-GMP-II-GAG riboswitch aptamer". The record is from Rfam by way of RNAcentral. Lineage: Bacteria; Bacillati; Chloroflexota; Anaerolineae; Anaerolineales; Anaerolineaceae.
CAUCCUUAGGGAGGCACUGAUCUGAGCAUCUUCAAUCUGGUCGCUUGGCGCACGGAACCGUCCGUAGCGCGGGAUGCGCAGGGAGCCGAGUAGCGAAACCGACCGAAAGGAAG